RNAcentral lists this ribosomal RNA (472 nucleotides) under uncultured bacterium. RNAcentral describes it as "bacterial SSU rRNA". It matches the Rfam family "Bacterial small subunit ribosomal RNA", at positions 335 to 801 of the family's 1533-position model. The record is from RNAcentral.
GUGCCUACGGGUGGCAGCAGUAGGGAAUAUUGGGCAAUGGGCGAAAGCCUGACCCAGCCAUGCCGCGUGAGCGAUGACGGUCCUCGAGAUUGUAAAGCUCUUUUCUGAAGGAAGAAUAUCCGGGGUAGGAAAUGCCCCCGGCUUGACGGUACUUCAGGAAUAAGGAACGGCUAACUCCGUGCCAGCAGCCGCGGUAAUACGGAGGUUCCAAGCGUUGUUCGGAAUUACUGGGCGUAAAGGGAGCGCAGGCGGACAAGUCAGUCUAAAGUGAAAUCCCGGGGCUCAACCUCGGACUUGCUUCGGAUACUGCUUGUCUUGAGUUCGUGAUAGGAAGAUGGAAUUCAGGGUGUAGCGGUGAAAUGCACAGAUAUCCUGAGGAACACCGGUGGCGAAAGCGGUCUUCUGGCGCGAAACUGACGCUGAGGCUCGAAAGCGUGGGUAGCAAACGUGAUUAGAUACCCCGGUAGUCGCU